AAGACUUUUACAUCACAUUUUAUUUUUCUUGAUUUUUUCUUUGCACACCCUUGCUUGUAAAAUUAAACACGGCACAAUACAGUGCAUCAAGAAUUAAGAUGGACGAUGGGUAGUCAAGUUAGUCAUUGAACAUUUAACAGUCAAUGGAAUGUUGACAAAAAUAGAAGUGUUUGCAACAUAUCAUUCAAAAUCAAAACGGGAAAAACAAUAGUUUUCCAAAAUCACACAAUCACUGUGUUAGACAAGCAAAACAACUCUUGACACUACAACGUAGUGUCAUCUUCCCGAGUAUCAGAUGGACUAAACGUGCCUUUCAGAAGAACGCCUGGAUGCUUCCUCUGAAAAGAGAGAGA
This is a long non-coding RNA of Xiphophorus couchianus (Monterrey platyfish), 353 nucleotides long. RefSeq lists it as uncharacterized. The record is from RefSeq and is a predicted model, not a curated record. The transcript is spliced from 2 exons. NCBI's taxonomy places the organism in Eukaryota, Metazoa, Chordata, Actinopteri, Cyprinodontiformes, Poeciliidae.